Non-coding RNA from Oryza nivara, 197 nucleotides. Lineage: Eukaryota; Viridiplantae; Streptophyta; Magnoliopsida; Poales; Poaceae. The record is from Rfam.
AAUAAGUGCAGUUUUACACUAUUUAUCUUCAACGUUUGACCGUUCGUCUUAUUUGAAAUUUUUUUAUGAUUAUUAUUUUUAUUGUUAUUAGAUGAUAAAACAUGAAUAGUACUUUAUGUGUGACUAAUUUUUUUUUAAAAAAUUAAAUCAAAUGGACGGUCAAACGUUGGACACGGAUUUCCACGACUGCACUUAUU